GACGAACGCUGGCGGCGUGCUUAACACAUGCAAGUCGAGCGGUAAGGCCCUUUCGGGGGUACACGAGCGGCGAACGGGUGAGUAACACGUGGGUGACCUGCCCUUAGCUUUGGGAUAAGCCUGGGAAACUGGGUCUAAUACCGGAUAUGACUCCAUAACGCAUGUUGUGGGGUGGAAAGCCUUGUGCGGCUAGGGAUGGGCCCGCGGCCUAUCAGCUUGUUGGUGGGGUGAUGGCCUACCAAGGCGACGACGGGUAGCCGGCCUGAGAGGGCGACCGGCCACACUGGGACUGAGACACGGCCCAGACUCCUACGGGAGGCAGCAGUGGGGAAUCUUGCGCAAUGGGCGAAAGCCUGACGCAGCGACGCCGCGUGGGGA
This 378-nucleotide ribosomal RNA is filed under the name uncultured bacterium. Its description in RNAcentral is "bacterial SSU rRNA". It matches the Rfam family "Bacterial small subunit ribosomal RNA", at positions 28 to 407 of the family's 1533-position model. The record is from RNAcentral.